Non-coding RNA from Notechis scutatus (mainland tiger snake), 368 nucleotides. The record is from RefSeq and is a predicted model, not a curated record. NCBI's taxonomy places the organism in Eukaryota, Metazoa, Chordata, Lepidosauria, Squamata, Elapidae.
CUGUCAGUCAACAGCGAUACGAGGGUGGGACCGGCGACUGCCUGCAGGUGUUCUCCUGUAUACGGUAGUACUUUCCAAGGCUUAGUUCAGAAAGUGGAUCUGCGACAAAAUUCAGCUACGAAGUAGCUGCGGCAGGCAGAUAUAAAAAAACUGGCAAUCAAGAUGGAAAAUAACGUAACAACAAUUUCUCGAGAGGAACUGGAAGAACUAAAAGAAGCAUUCAAUAAAAUAGACAUUGACAAUAGUGGAUAUGUCAGUGAUUAUGAACUUCAAGAUCUUUUCAAAGAAGCAAGUCUUCCAUUACCUGGCUAUAAAGUUCGUGAAAUUGUGGAAAAAAUUAUAGCAGUGACAGAUAGUAACAAGGAUGG